Suricata suricatta (meerkat) is the source of this 400-nucleotide long non-coding RNA. RefSeq lists it as uncharacterized. The record is from RefSeq and is a predicted model, not a curated record. NCBI's taxonomy places the organism in Eukaryota, Metazoa, Chordata, Mammalia, Carnivora, Herpestidae. The transcript has 2 exons.
GGAAACAAACCAGUCUCUGAACAUACCUGAGGAAAACAGCUUUAUGCCUAAGAGCAAAGCUGUCUCAACAACCAGCUGGUAAAAAGGCCACAGGGAAGCCAAAUUAGACAAAGCACUGUGCCCAAUGGGCAGAGGAGGACUUCCUCAAGCUGGGGCCAGGCCUGGGGAGACUUGGAAGGAGGCCUGUGAAGGGCAGGCCUGAAGCCCAGCAGGAAGUCUCUGGGGACACAGAGGCCAGCGCCAUCCCAUGAUGGAACACAACCUUCUGUGCCAAGCACUCUGACAACCUUGCCGUAAGGGAUACACCCAUGGGCACUUUUCAUUGCAAGGAGGCAGCAGAUACUGAAUUAAUUUAGAAUACUGAAUAAAAGAAAACAGAAGCUGAACAAUCCACAAAUCA